CGGGCUGUGCGGCCCGGGCUGUGACCCAGCGGCUCGCGCGGUGGCGCGCAGGGCCCUGCAGCCAGCCGCCCCGCCCGCGCCCCCGGCUCCGCGCGCCCCUGGCCCCAGGCGCCGUCUCCCCACUCUGCGCGCCCUCGGCUGCGGGGUAGCGGGCAGCCCUGCGCUGCCGGCCGCCUAGCCUGCACCCCCCGCCCUGGGAGGGAAGCCUCGCUCCAGCCGCGUCGUUUCCGCGCCGAAGUGCGAUCCGGGGCCCCGCGCUGGAGUCCCCUGCUCUCAGGCUGGUCUGGAAGGUGGUGGCAGUUGCUGGAGUACCAGGGCACCAAGUGGAGGAUGUGGUAGACAGCCUCUAAGAUGCGCCCCCUGCCAAUGAUCUCUGCCUCCAGGGAGGAGCUAGAAGGCAGAGAGAAAGCCACUCAGGACUUCCCAUCCCAGAAGAUAAAGGUGAGGAAAGCAGCAGCAGCAGCCACAGGCCAGUAUUCCAGAGCAGCUUUGGGUUCCUGUCAAGACCUGCUUUGAGAAGGAGGUGGCUGUGGGGCUGGAGGGCUGGGCCUGUUCCUGAGCUGGCUGCUGGCAGCACAGCAAUGAGGCAACAUUGAGAACUGCGACACGAGGCCCAGUCCUGCUACUAAACCAACUGUGUGGACUUGCAUAGUCACUUCACCCCUCGGGCCUCCAUUUCUCCACUUUGGAAAGCAGUGUUGGGACGAUGUUAAGGGUUUGCAACCUUCCAACAUGAAGACUUAUUUUUAAAAGCAAAACAUUUCAAAGAGUCCACAUGACAGUAGUGUUCAUUUUGGCAUCUGUUGAUUUAACAAAUACAAAAUUAGGCUGGGUGUAGUUGCUAACGCCUGUAAUUCCAGCACUUUGGGAGACCGAGGCAGGAGGAUCACCUGAAAUCAGGAGUUCGAGACCAGCCUGGCCAACAUGGUGGAACUCCAUCACUACCAAAAAUACAAAAAUUAGCUGGGCUUGGUGGCACGUGCCUGUAAUCCCAGCUACUCGGGAGGCUGAGGCAGGAGAAUCAUUUGAACCCGGGAGGCAGAGGUUGCAGUGACCUGAGAUUGCACCACUGUACUCCAGCCUGGGCAACAGGGCAAGACUCCAUUAAAAAAAAAAAUACAAAAUUAGGCAUGGUGGUGUUCGUCUGUAGUCCCAUCUAUUUGAGAGGUUAAGGCGGGAGGAUCACUUGAGCUCAGGAGUUUGAGUUUGCAGUG
Molecule: long non-coding RNA, 1214 nt
Filed under: Homo sapiens (human)
Lineage: Eukaryota; Metazoa; Chordata; Mammalia; Primates; Hominidae
Description: PREDICTED lncRNA (TCONS_00074783)
Source: RNAcentral